AGAGUUUGAUCCUGGCUCAGGACGAACGCUGGCGGCGUGCCUAAUACAUGCAAGUCGAACGGUCUUUUCUAUGGAAGCUUGCUUCCACUGAGAAGAUAGUGGCGAACGGGUGAGUAACACGUGGGUAACCUGCCCAUAAGAGGGGGAUAACAUCCGGAAACGGGUGCUAAUACCGCAUAGUUUUCUUAAUCGCAUGAUUGAGAAAGGAAAGACGGCCUUUGUGCUGUCGCUUAUGGAUGGACCCGCGGCGUAUUAGUUAGUUGGUGAGGUAACGGCUCACCAAGACGAUGAUACGUAGCCGACCUGAGAGGGUGAUCGGCCACAUUGGGACUGAGACACGGCCCAAACUCCUACGGGAGGCAGCAGUAGGGAAUCUUCCGCAAUGGACGAAAGUCUGACGGAGCAACGCCGCGUGAGUGAAGAAGGUUUUCGGAUCGUAAAACUCUGUUGUCAGAGAAGAACAAGUUGGAGAGUAACUGCUCCAGCCUUGACGGUAUCUGACCAGAAAGCCACGGCUAACUACGUGCCAGCAGCCGCGGUAAUACGUAGGUGGCAAGCGUUGUCCGGAUUUAUUGGGCGUAAAGCGAGCGCAGGCGGUUCCUUAAGUCUGAUGUGAAAGCCCACGGCUCAACCGUGGAAGGUCAUUGGAAACUGGGGAACUUGAGUGCAGAAGAGGAGAGUGGAAUUCCAUGUGUAGCGGUGAAAUGCGUAGAUAUAUGGAGGAACACCAGUGGCGAAGGCGACUCUCUGGUCUGUAACUGACGCUGAGGCGCGAAAGCGUGGGGAGCAAACAGGAUUAGAUACCCUGGUAGUCCACGCCGUAAACGAUGGGUACUAGGUGUAGGAGGUAUCGACCCCUUCUGUGCCGCAGCAAACGCAUUAAGUACCCCGCCUGGGGAGUACGUUCGCAAGAAUGAAACUCAAAGGAAUUGACGGGGGCCCGCACAAGCAGUGGAGUAUGUGGUUUAAUUCGACGCAACGCGAAGAACCUUACCAGGGUUCGACAUCCUCUGACAGCUAUAGAGAUGUAGCAUUCUCUUCGGAGACAGAGAGACAGGUGGUGCAUGGUUGUCGUCAGCUCGUGUCGUGAGAUGUUGGGUAAAGUCCCGCAACGAGCGCAACCCCUAUUGCCAGUUACCAUCAUUAAGUUGGGGACUCUGGCGAGACCGCCGUUGACAAAACGGAGGAAGGUGGGGAUGACGUCAAAUCAUCAUGCCCCUUACGUCCUGGGCUACACACGUACUACAAUGGUAGGAACAAUGGGCAGCGAAACCGCGAGGUGGAGCAAAUCCCCAAAUCCUAUCUCAGUUCAGAUUGCAGGCUGCAACUCGCCUGCAUGAAGCAGGAAUUGCUAGUAAUGGCAGGUCAGCAUACUGCCGUGAAUACGUUCCCGGGCCUUGUACACACCGCCCGUCACACCAUGAGAGUCUGUAACACCCGAAGUCGGUAGUCUAACUACGGAGGACGCCGCCGAAGGUGGGACAGAUAAUUGGGGUGAAGUCGUAACAAGGUA
RNAcentral lists this ribosomal RNA (1513 nucleotides) under uncultured bacterium. RNAcentral's name for it is "partial 16S ribosomal RNA". It matches the Rfam family "Bacterial small subunit ribosomal RNA". The record is from RNAcentral.